CGCCUCUUUGUUUUCUUCUUUCUCAUGCUUUUCGCUCCCGCACUGGAUAAAGGGUCGAGACGAGGGGCGGCACACUCCUCAGUGCGCGGUGGUAUCUCAGGGUCCAGUACCACCACCCUAGGUGCUGAGGCCAAACAGCCCCCCCUCCCCUCCCCCCGACUCUCUAAGCCUGCCGAACCACCUCUGGUGAUGACAGGGUCACGUACCAGUGUCAUGGGGCAGUCAGAGCGAUGUAUCACUGCUGAUGCCAGCGGUCCGGCCCUGGGUGGCGCUGUGUCGGAGCGACCUGCGACCGUGAGCAGGCGCUUGCACCAUCCAUGUGAUGGGCGAAGUGUCAGAGUGACUCGAAGGUACCUCACCGCCGGCCCUCACGCUGCCCACUCGCGUGGGGAGUGUCCGGGUCACCGCGAGGGGGAUGGACCAGGUGGCGACUGGCACAAUGGGAGCGGCUGUGAGGCGAGCUGCGAGGCAGAGACCGCGCUCAGGUGACUGAGUCGGCUCAUUGCUGUCACGCGGUCCUCUGCAGCUUCGCGCCACGCGCUGGGGCCUGUGACAGGCCGGGCAGCGUGAGCUCACGCCGUAUUAGGGGGAUGAACACGUUAAAGGAAAGGCAUCCUUUGGUAUACACUGCGUUGCCUCUUUUUUUGGCUUCAUCCUAUCCAAGAGAGCUAUGUGGCAGCGGCCGUCGUGGUGGGACUCGGCUGACAAGGCUGAUUCACCUGCUGGCCAGAUCGUUUUCAGGGCUUGGUGCCUCGUUUGGAUGCUUCGUUCUCUACCUCACUCUUUCCACCACAAGGCCCCCUCUUCUUUACGUGCUAAACUGAUAAACGGGACGAGCACAUACGCGCCGGUGUCGUGGCGUGUUUGCCGUGGGUCUUGAUGAUGUGCACCUGCACGACACGCGGGCACGCUCCAAAAAAAAACAAAAACAGCACGAGAACAUAGAGGAACUGAUUUUGUGUGCGCGCGCGCGUGGAUGUGCACGAAGCAAAAACUAGUGGAUUCAGCUUCCUGCAGUCAUGAAGUGUGUCCGACGCGCUUAGCCCACUUCUGCCGGUGCGUUAAGUUGGCGCACCAGCGUGCGUGCCGUGAAGGCCACUGCCAGCGUGUCUCUUUCGGCUAUACGUGGGCCUGAAUAUUUUUGCAGCUCUUGCACAUAAUGCCCUUCUUACCCGAUACUCGCGUGGUGCUCCUCCAACCUUUUGCAUCACGUUACUUUUCGACGCCGUCUUGUGCACACACGCACACACGCGUGCGUACGCGGCCAUGGCCGCAG
RNAcentral lists this unclassified non-coding RNA (1276 nucleotides) under Leishmania donovani. Its description in RNAcentral is "gene:unknown". The record is from RNAcentral. Lineage: Eukaryota; Euglenozoa; Kinetoplastea; Trypanosomatida; Trypanosomatidae.